CUGCUGCCUUCCGUAGGAGUCUGGGCCGUAUCUCAGUCCCAAUGUGGCCGGCCAACCUCUCAGUCCGGCUACUGAUCGUCGCCUUGGUGGGCCGUUACCCCACCAACUAGCUAAUCAGACGCGAGGCCAUCUUUCGGCGAUAAAUCUUUGACAUUCAGACCAUGCGGCCCAAAUGUAUCAUGCGGUAUUAGCAGUCGUUUCCAACUGUUGUCCCCCUCCGAAAGGCAGGUUCCUCACGCGUUACUCACCA
This 250-nucleotide ribosomal RNA is filed under the name uncultured bacterium. RNAcentral's name for it is "partial 16S ribosomal RNA". The record is from RNAcentral.